Long non-coding RNA from Xenopus laevis (African clawed frog), 338 nucleotides. RefSeq lists it as uncharacterized. The transcript has 2 exons. The record is from RefSeq and is a predicted model, not a curated record. Lineage: Eukaryota; Metazoa; Chordata; Amphibia; Anura; Pipidae.
GUGAAAUAUACGAUAAAUACGUUCGUUCGUUCGGUUGUUGCGCAGUUUGCGGGACCGAACGAGCUGAUCUAGAUCGUAGAAUUUCCCUUCGUCUUUCUACGAAUUUUCUUGCUGCAGUCUACUAACAUAAUUUGCUACAUUAUCAACAUGCCAGCAGAAAAAUUUACCAACCCAGAAUUCCUGAGAGAAUUUAUUGAAUUGUACCGGGCCCUUCCUUGUCUCUGGAAAGUGAAAUCGGGAGAUUACAUGAAUAAAAUGAAACGAGAAAAGGCAUAUGAAGAAUUGGCAAACCUUUGCAAAUCAGUGUGCCCCAAAGCUGAUGUUCAAUUUGUGAAGAC